CGGUAGGCUUAACACAUGCAAGUCGAGCGAGAAAGUAUCUUCGGAUAUGAGUAGAGCGGCGGACGGGUGAGUAACGCGUAGGAAUCUACCUAGUAGAAGGGGAUAGCCCGGGGAAACUCGGAUUAAUACCGUAUACCUCCUAAGGGAGAAAGAGGGCCUCUCUUGAUGCUCUCGCUAUUAGAUGAGCCUGCGUAAGAUUAGCUUGUUGGUAAGGUAAUGGCUUACCAAGGCUACGAUCUUUAGCUGGUCUGAGAGGACGAUCAGCCACAUUGGGACUGAGACACGGCCCAGACUCCUACGGGAGGCAGCAGUGGGGAAUAUUGGACAAUGGGCGCAAGCCUGAUCCAGCCAUACCGCGUGUGUGAAGAAGGCCUUCGGGUUGUAAAGCACUUUAAGCAGGGAGAAAAAGUUAUAAGUUAAUACCUUAUAACCGUGAUGUUACCUGCAGAAUAAGCACCGGC
Molecule: ribosomal RNA, 461 nt
Filed under: uncultured Pseudomonadota bacterium
Lineage: Bacteria; Pseudomonadati; Pseudomonadota
Description: bacterial SSU rRNA
Rfam family: Bacterial small subunit ribosomal RNA
Source: RNAcentral